CUGCAAUUGGUGCAUGCAAAGAAAGAUCGGUUGAAACUCAAAUGACUUGUUUUACAAGUCGAUCUGCGUUAAUUACUGCUGCUCCCUGGAUAAGAGUUCCACGUCCGUUUAAAUGGGGACGCCCUUCUUUUAAUGCUGGUGAUAUUUUUGCUAUGGUUUCUGCUUCUCUUGUUGCAACUGUAGAGUCAACAGGGACAUUCA
RNAcentral lists this small RNA (201 nucleotides) under Vigna angularis var. angularis. RNAcentral describes it as "Non-protein coding transcript". The record is from RNAcentral. Lineage: Eukaryota; Viridiplantae; Streptophyta; Magnoliopsida; Fabales; Fabaceae.